UAAGAGUGGUCUUGCCUUGAACUGCUGUACUCCUGCCUUAGCCUCCGGAGCGCUGGGAUUACAGGUUUGUGCCGCUGUGACUCUCCCGCUGUGCGGCAGAGACUUUUAAGCCAGCCAUUUUUCUAAAAAGGUUGCAAUUUUAACUUGUGGCAGUGUAAUGUCCUUUAGGAGACCCAAGCUCAAAGAGGUGAUAGGGCUUUCCAACUCACAAAACGCUGUCGGGACUGGGUACAGGACCUGAACAUCCUACAAGCCUGCUGCUCUAUUACUGAGUCACACGGUCAUCCUUGUCCUGUGGUUCCCUCUCGCUGCCAGUACAGUCAGGCCCAAACAAAGGCCGCAUCUUAGGCGAGUUCCCCCCAAAAUAUGUUUGCCAAGGUUAACAGCCUUCCUCUAAUAGGGUGAGGUCUUAGGGUUGGUAUCCAAAAGUGGCAGAAAUCCAUCCUUAAAUUGUAUCAGUGUAUCACCAGGACUCAGUUGCUGGAAUGAGGGAAGCAGAGUAGGAGAGAGAAGAGGACUCUGGAAUUGCAAAAUUAAGCAGUUGAGCAGGGUUAACUAGUGCACCCACCGAGUAUCGAGGUUCUAAGUUGGUGACAGACGCCGGCGGCCUAGAUGCCCAUACCCUCGUACCCCGCGGGACUGCGCAGACACGUUAAAAGUCCGGAAAUCCGGAGCCCUGGGCCUCAGCGGCCCGGUUGGCUCUCCCGCCUUGAGGACUAGGAGGGGCGUAUACCGGCGGGGAAUCACCGUGGCCAAUCUACAUUUCUGUGCCCCAAGUUUCGACAAGGAGCUCGCGAAGACGCUGGGUCCUCGGGAAGGCCUGAGCGCCCUUCCUGCUUUGCAAUCGGCGGGAAGCUUCCUGGGCCGAGGGGACGGGAGCUGGGUGAAGGAGCAGCACUUGUACCUCUUGCGGCACAUCCUCGGCGCGCCCGGAGGAGGCCAGGCGGAGAGCUCCGGGCUCCAGCGCCUUUUUGGGCCGUCCGCCUCCAUGCCCGCCCUAACUGCGGCGCAGCCCACAUUGGCUACCCCAGCGGCCCGUCCGGCCCCCGCACGCCUAUUGGCGGCCGAGGCCCGACCCCCGACGAGGGCUCCGAGGCGGAGAGCCGGAUUGGUGGUCCCAUCGUCCCGGGUCGCAGUCGCACGCUCCGCCCGCCGCUGCGUCCCCACUAUGGCGGCGCCCAUACAGUCCAGCGCUUCGUGGGCGCCAGCCGGGGUUCCCCGCGGCUGUGGCCGCUGCCUGCGCCUUCCUCCCUCGCUUGGGGCUGGGCGCUGCCUCUCCCCGGCCUGCCUCUCGGCUGCGGAUUGUUUUCUUUCCUCCCACUUGCCAGGUGUGCUGCCAUCUCUUCCAGGUGCGUCACUUCUGCCAAGACUUUUAGUGGUUCUGGGUAUGUUGAACUAGCCAUAGAACAGCUGGCAUGAAAGUAUGGGCAAAUGUUUUUAUUGGCCACACCUUCAGAUUUUACUGUUAUUUCCUGAUUAUUUGAAUUGCUUGCUCUGUGUGCUUUACUGUUUGUACUUAUCUUGGCUUUUUCUACCUUAAGUGACCCUCUUGAAUUAUUCUUACAUAUGUUUAGGGCUGUUUGUAGGAAACUUCUGUGAAUUGUUUCUGUGCUUUUCUUCCCACGUAAUUAGUGCUCUCCUUAAAAUGACUAUAACUCUGUAGUCUUUUUGUCUUAACUUUCAGUCACGACAUAGGACUGAAGCUUUCUCCAGAUGUGAAUCAUGAUCUUUGUCUCUAGCAAAGUUUUUUUACUUAGUAGAUACUUAGCAAAUAUAUUGAGAAAAGCUUUGAACUAGAUGGAUACAAAAAAAUGCUAUGCGGAAAGAAAAUGCUGCCAUAAAGUAUGUAAAUAAUGUUAUUUAUGAGAGAAUCCCUUACUGAGAGACAGUGUAUUGGUCUGGAUAGCUUGGGUUAAACAAUACUAGCAAAAGUUUUAAAGAUUUCAGUGAUUUAACAGAACUGAAAUUGAUUUCUUCUUCAUGCUACUAGGGGACUCUGCUUCCAUAGGGGUCACUCAGGAACCAAGACAAUUGGUGGUCAAGUGAAUGCUG
RNAcentral lists this long non-coding RNA (2052 nucleotides) under Cavia porcellus (domestic guinea pig). Its description in RNAcentral is "lncRNA (ENSCPOG00000035521.1)". Lineage: Eukaryota; Metazoa; Chordata; Mammalia; Rodentia; Caviidae. The record is from RNAcentral.